Sycon ciliatum is the source of this 847-nucleotide long non-coding RNA. RefSeq lists it as uncharacterized. The transcript is spliced from 3 exons. Lineage: Eukaryota; Metazoa; Porifera; Calcarea; Leucosolenida; Sycettidae. The record is from RefSeq and is a predicted model, not a curated record.
GACAGAUCAGUUUUUCUUCGUCCAAGAAAGGUGUAGCUACCCGUUAUCACCAGCAACUGGCAAAAAGUUGUCAUUCCUUCAGCUAGGUCUGGAAGGAUAACCGAUGCCCGAAUCCUUUCUGGAACCUGUCUAGUGUGAAAUCAAGGCAGCGGGAAAGCGAGAGGUCCAGCGUUAGUCCCAUCGAUCAAAUAUCGGACAACUAGCACUGCCAGCCUACCUUGGCAAUGGAUGCCCAUGAAUCCGGAACGAAUGGACUGGAAAGUGUUCAGUUUGACGUCUGGCAAGACAUCUUGUUGCCAAUGUUGUCUAUUCAAAACAUAUUUCAGCUGUGUGCUGUCAGCAAAUCCAUGCAAUGGUGGCUGCUCAAUGAGUACACGUUCAGACGACUUGUUCUGGUGAGCACUAAUAAUGCAAAAUUCCUGUUUUCGUGUGUGUAUGAAUCUAUGCCAAUAUCUGAGUGCGUGGAUGUGUGAAUUGCAUGUGCAUUUGCUGAUCAAUAUCUGCGUCACAGUGUCAAUUUGAGGAUAAUUUUGGGCCAACUCCUUUCCCUUUCUGAAGCAGUUGCAUCUUAUCCUUGACUGAUUCCCUAUGUUCAUAUUGAUACAUGUCCAUGUAGAGUUCAUCGUCUUCCCACUCACUGUCUACGUUAUUGUUAACAAAUUCUCGAAAACCUUUCUACCUCACAUAUUACUUCGGGAUCGAAGAAUAUUUACCUUAUAUUGACGGAGUGCGAGGUCAGUAUAGGAAAUGGAAGCUGAAGAAGAUGAUGUUUAUAGUUUUUAUCACUCUCUUAGUAUUGAGUGCCAUUUAUUUUCGCUAUACCUAAGCAGUCAAAUAUUCCUGCAUA